This 71-nucleotide transfer RNA is filed under the name unidentified. RNAcentral's name for it is "Leptomias sp. DX-2020 tRNA-Lys". It matches the Rfam family "tRNA". From Rfam's summary of the family: Transfer RNA (tRNA) molecules are approximately 80 nucleotides in length. Their secondary structure includes four short double-helical elements and three loops (D, anti-codon, and T loops). The record is from RNAcentral.
CAUUAGAUGGCUGAAGGCAAGCACUGGUCUCUUAAACCAUCUUAUAGUAGUUUAGCAUCUACUUCUAAUGA